GCCCGCCUAGCUCAAUCGGAUAGAGCGUCAGACUCUUAGGUGGGUGUUGGUUGCGCCUCUACUGUAAUCUGAAGGCUGCGAGUUCGACCCUCGCGGUGGGCU
Lactarius vividus is the source of this 102-nucleotide non-coding RNA. The record is from the annotation of a GenBank genome assembly. Lineage: Eukaryota; Fungi; Basidiomycota; Agaricomycetes; Russulales; Russulaceae.